Molecule: ribosomal RNA, 417 nt
Filed under: uncultured phototrophic eukaryote
Lineage: Eukaryota
Description: bacterial SSU rRNA
Rfam family: Bacterial small subunit ribosomal RNA
Source: RNAcentral
GAUGAACGCUGGCGGUAUGCCUAGCACAUGCAAGUCGUACGAGAGUUUUUAACUCUAGUGGCGGACGGGUGAGUAACACGUGAGAAUUUACCUUUAGGAGGGGGAUAACAAUUGGAAACGAAUGCUAAUACCCCAUAUGCUUUUGAGUGAAAUGGAUUUAUAUUUAUCCGCCUAGAGAGAAGCUCGCGGCUGAUUAGCUUGUUGGUAAGGUAAGAGCUUACCAAGGCGACGAUCAGUAUCUGGUUUGAGAGGACGAUCAGACACACUGGAACUGAGACACGGUCCAGACUCCUACGGGAGGCAGCAGUGGGGAAUUUUCCGCAAUGGGCGAAAGCCUGACGGAGCAAUACCGCGUGAGGGAAGACUGCCUAUGGGUUGUAAACCUCUUUUUUCAGGGAGGAAUAAAAUGACGUGUAC